CCCCUAGAUGUUCUGGGCCGCACGCGCGCUACACUGAACAGUUCAACAAGUCUUAACCUUGGCCGAUAGGUCUGGGUAAUCUUUGAACGCUGUUCGUGAUUGGGAUAGACCUUUGCAAUUAUGGGUCUUCAACGAGGAAUUCCUAGUAAACGCAGGUCAUCAGCUUGCAUUGAUUACGUCCCUGCCCUUUGUACACACCGCCCGUCGCACCUACCGAUUGAAUGGUCCGGUGAAAUCUCGGGACGGCGGCUUGGUCGCUUGCGUCCGACUGCUGAAACUUGAUUAAACCAUAUCAUUUAGAGGAAGGUGAAGUCGUANCA
Molecule: ribosomal RNA, 320 nt
Filed under: uncultured eukaryote
Lineage: Eukaryota
Description: partial 18S ribosomal RNA
Rfam family: Eukaryotic small subunit ribosomal RNA
Source: RNAcentral